RNAcentral lists this ribosomal RNA (429 nucleotides) under Gemmatimonadota bacterium. RNAcentral's name for it is "Gemmatimonadetes bacterium partial 16S ribosomal RNA". It matches the Rfam family "Bacterial small subunit ribosomal RNA", at positions 355 to 776 of the family's 1533-position model. The record is from RNAcentral. Lineage: Bacteria; Pseudomonadati; Gemmatimonadota.
UAGGGAAUCUUCGGCAAUGGACGAAAGUCUGACCGAGCAACGCCUCGCGAGUGAAGAAGGUUUUCGGAUCGUAAAACUCUGUUGUUAGAGAAGAACAAGGACGUUAGUAACUGAACGUCCCCUGACGGUAUCUAACUAGAAAGCCACGGCUAACUACGUGCCAGCAGCCGCGGUAAUACGUAGGUGGCACGCGUUGUCCGGAUUUAUUGAGCGUAAAGCGAGCGCAGGCGGUUUCUUAAGUCUGAUGUGAAAGCCCCCGGCUCAACCGGGGAGGGUCAUUGGGAACUGGGAGACUAGAGUGCAGAAGAGGAGAGUGGAAUUCCAUGUGUAGCGGUGAAAUGCGUAGAUAUAUGGAGGAACACCAGUGGCGAAGGCGGCUCUCUGGUCUGUAUCUGACGCUGAGGCUCGAAAGCGUGGGGAGCAAACAGG